AACGAACGCUGGCGGCAUGCCUAACACAUGCAAGUCGAACGAGACCUUCGGGUCUAGUGGCGCACGGGUGCGUAACGCGUGGGAACCUGCCCUUAGGUUCGGAAUAACUCCCCGAAAGGGGUGCUAAUACCGGAUAAUGUCUUCGGACCAAAGAUUUAUCGCCUUUGGAUGGGCCCGCGUUGGAUUAGCUAGUUGGUAGGGUAAAAGCCUACCAAGGCGACGAUCCAUAGCUGGUCUGAGAGGAUGAUCAGCCACACUGGGACUGAGACACGGCCCAGACGCUUACGGGAGGCAGGAGUGGGGAAUAUAGGACAAUGGGCGAAAGCCUGAGCAAGCAAUGCCGCGUGAGUGAUGAAGGCCGUAGGGUUGUAAAGCUCUUUUACCCGGGAUGAUAAUGACAGUACCGGGAGAAUAAGCUCCGGCUAACUCCGUG
This 433-nucleotide ribosomal RNA is filed under the name uncultured bacterium. RNAcentral describes it as "partial 16S ribosomal RNA". It matches the Rfam family "Bacterial small subunit ribosomal RNA", at positions 29 to 507 of the family's 1533-position model. The record is from RNAcentral.